UACGGAGGGUGCGAGCGUUAAUCGGAAUUACUGGGCGUAAAGCGCGCGUAGGUGGUUAAUUAAGUCAGAUGUGAAAUCCCAGGGCUCAACCUUGGAACUGCAUUUGAAACUGGUUAACUAGAGUUUUGUAGAGGGUGGUAGAAUUUCAGGUGUAGCGGUGAAAUGCGUAGAGAUCUGAAGGAAUACCAGUGGCGAAGGCGGCCACCUGGACAAAGACUGACACUGAGGCGCGAAGGCGUGGGGAGCAAAC
This 250-nucleotide ribosomal RNA is filed under the name uncultured prokaryote. RNAcentral's name for it is "partial 16S ribosomal RNA". It matches the Rfam family "Bacterial small subunit ribosomal RNA", at positions 524 to 773 of the family's 1533-position model. The record is from RNAcentral.